UACAGAGGUCUCAAGCGUUGUUCGGAUUCAUUGGGCGUAAAGGGUGUGUAGGUGGCGCCGUAAGUCGGGUGUGAAAUCUCGGGGCUUAACUCCGAAACUGCAUUCGAUACUGCGGUGCUUGAGGACUGGAGAGGAGACUGGAAUUCAUGGUGUAGCAGUGAAAUGCGUAGAUAUCUGGAGGAACACCGGUGGCGAAGGCGGCAUUCUGGACCGAUAUUGACGCUGAGGAGCGAAAGCCAGGGGAGCAAACGGG
This 253-nucleotide ribosomal RNA is filed under the name uncultured bacterium. RNAcentral describes it as "partial 16S ribosomal RNA". It matches the Rfam family "Bacterial small subunit ribosomal RNA", at positions 524 to 776 of the family's 1533-position model. The record is from RNAcentral.